Cavia porcellus (domestic guinea pig) is the source of this 97-nucleotide unclassified non-coding RNA. It matches the Rfam family "Y RNA". Rfam says of the family: Y RNAs are components of the Ro ribonucleoprotein particle (Ro RNP), in association with Ro60 and La proteins. The Y RNAs and Ro60 and La proteins are well conserved, but the function of the Ro RNP is not known. Lineage: Eukaryota; Metazoa; Chordata; Mammalia; Rodentia; Caviidae. The record is from Ensembl.
AGCUGGUCUGAUGGCAGUGGGUUAUCAGAACUUAUUAACAUUAGUGUCACUAAAGUUGGUAUACAACCCUCCCACUGCUAAAUUUGACUGGCUUUUU